GAAUGACUCUCGGCAACGGAUAUCUCGGCUCACGCAUCGAUGAAGAACGUAGCAAAAUGCGAUACUUGGUGUGAAUUGCAGAAUCCCGUGAACCAUCGAGUUUUUGAACGCAAGUUGCGCCCGAAGCCAUCCGGUUGAGGGCAUGCCUGCCUGGGCGUCACG
Molecule: ribosomal RNA, 162 nt
Filed under: Taraxacum nobile
Lineage: Eukaryota; Viridiplantae; Streptophyta; Magnoliopsida; Asterales; Asteraceae
Description: 5.8S ribosomal RNA
Rfam family: 5.8S ribosomal RNA
About the family: 5.8S ribosomal RNA (5.8S rRNA) is a component of the large subunit of the eukaryotic ribosome. It is transcribed by RNA polymerase I as part of the 45S precursor that also contains 18S and 28S rRNA.
Source: RNAcentral